Molecule: ribosomal RNA, 253 nt
Filed under: uncultured bacterium
Lineage: Bacteria
Description: partial 16S ribosomal RNA
Rfam family: Bacterial small subunit ribosomal RNA
Source: RNAcentral
UACGGAGGAUGCAAGCGUUAUCCGGAAUGACUGGGCGUAAAGGGUCCGCAGGUGGCAGUGUAAGUCUGCUGUCAAAGAAUGAGGCUUAACCUUAUCAAGGCAGUGGAAACUACACAGCUAGAGUACGGUCGGGGUAGAAGGAAUCCCUGGUGUAGCGGUGAAAUGCGUAGAGAUCAGGAAGAACGCCGGUGGCGAAAGCGUUCUGCUAGACCUGUACUGACACUGAGGGACGAAAGCUAGGGGAGCGAAUGGG